This 57-nucleotide transfer RNA is filed under the name Haplochromis velifer. RNAcentral's name for it is "partial tRNA-Thr". Lineage: Eukaryota; Metazoa; Chordata; Actinopteri; Cichliformes; Cichlidae. The record is from RNAcentral.
UCAAAGCUUACACCAGUCUUGUAAACCGGACGCCGAAGGUUAAAAUCCUUCCUACUG